UAGCGGCCACGCCUUGGGGAA
RNAcentral lists this non-coding RNA (21 nucleotides) under Arabidopsis thaliana (thale cress). Lineage: Eukaryota; Viridiplantae; Streptophyta; Magnoliopsida; Brassicales; Brassicaceae. The record is from RNAcentral.